Molecule: ribosomal RNA, 263 nt
Filed under: uncultured bacterium
Lineage: Bacteria
Description: partial 16S ribosomal RNA
Rfam family: Bacterial small subunit ribosomal RNA
Source: RNAcentral
GUCCUGGCUGUAAACGAUGAGCGCUGGGUGUAGGGGGUAUUAACCCCCCUGUGCCGAAGCUAACGCAUUAAGCGCUCCGCCUGGGGAGUACGGUCGCAAGGCUGAAACUCAAAAGGAAUUGACGGGGGCCCGCACAAGCGGUGGAGCAUGUGGUUCAAUUCGACGCAACGCGAAGAACCUUACCGGGGUUUGAACUGCACGGGACCGCUGCAGAGAUGCAGCUUUCCUUCGGGACCCGUGUAGAGGUGCUGCAUGGCUGUCGU